This 253-nucleotide ribosomal RNA is filed under the name uncultured bacterium. RNAcentral describes it as "partial 16S ribosomal RNA". It matches the Rfam family "Bacterial small subunit ribosomal RNA", at positions 524 to 776 of the family's 1533-position model. The record is from RNAcentral.
GACGAAGGAUGCAAGCGUUAUCCGGAUUCAUUGGGUUUAAAGGGCGCGUAGGCGGGUGCUCAAGUCCGUGGUGAAAUCCUCCGGCUCAACCGGAGAACUGCCUCGGAUACUGGGCGUCUCGAGUGUGGUAGGGGUAUGCGGAACUAUCGGUGGAGCGGUGAAAUGCGUUGAUAUCGAUAGGAACUCCGGUGGCGAAGGCGGCAUACUGGACCACCACUGACGCUGAUGCGCGAAAGCCAGGGGAGCAAACAGG